Bactrocera neohumeralis is the source of this 1315-nucleotide long non-coding RNA. RefSeq lists it as uncharacterized. The record is from RefSeq and is a predicted model, not a curated record. The transcript has 3 exons. NCBI's taxonomy places the organism in Eukaryota, Metazoa, Arthropoda, Insecta, Diptera, Tephritidae.
UUCGUCAAGUUUAACGGUUUCGGUCGGGGAUAUGGAGCGGCGCCGCUUUGGAAUUUCCCGUUUGGGUUCUUCCCGUUUGGGGUUUUCCCGUUUGGGUAUUUUCCGGCGGCGAAUUUCGAUGAACACGAAGUCAUCGGGCGGAUCGAUGCUCAUUUGAGCAUUUUCGGGAGAGGGAGAGGUAGUAGCGUCGUUAGAGUUGUCUAUGGGGUUGUCGUUGGAUUUUGUGGAGGUGAAUUUGUAAUUACUGAGCAUGUGCUCUACUCUGAGCAGAUACCCACGGACGUCUUUAAUGAGGGCGGUAAGUUCGCCCUCGCUUAGGGAAGAAGGGUUUGGGAAAUUCAUUGUUGAGUUAUCACAACGCGCAAUGUUUUUCCCUAACAUACGGCCUUUUGUGUUUGCGUUUAUUUGCGUUUGCGUUUGUUUGCGCUACUCUACGUCCGUUCGCGUUGCUGUUUGCUGUCAGACGUCUUGUUAUGUCUUUAAUUUUUAUAUUGUAUUUUCAUUACUUAUAUACUAUUUUAGGAAACAAUCUUAAAUAACUAAAUAUACAUAUGUGUAUGUGUUUGUAUGUAUUGCAGUAUAUUCCCUGCCAGCCACGGCUAACCACUUUUCUCACUUACACAUUUUUCUUCUUUCUUACACAUUUUUUCUCUAUGCACUAACACCAACCCACAUUUUCGGGUUAUUUUUUGUUUACCUAAAUGCGGUGAAAAAACGUUUCUUUCGUUUCCUGAUUUAUUUGAUUGAAUGCGAAUGAGAAAACAUAAUUGUCAAUAGUACCAAAAGAAAAUCCCUAAAAGGGUAAUAAAAAACGAUUGAAAGACGCAUGUCAUUCGUGCUCGUACAACAAGGAGAAUGAAUUGGAAAUAGCAGCAGCAGCAAUAUUAUCAGAAGCAGAAAAUAUAAAUUGUUAAAAAAUGCAACCCUGCAUCAGCUGACGCUUAUGGUAAUUAGAGCAGUUCAGCUAUAUUCUUACAUAAAUAAUGUAUAUGACACUGCUGAAUGAGCGCAACAGAGAUGUAUGAUCGACCUAUGGCGAGCUCACCACUUUUUUGACUACUGCGAGUACUUUUGAGGGUUUCAAAACCUACUGUUUCACUAAUUUUUUUACACUGUUGGAUGGCAGGGUUGUUUAUGUUGCAUGUCUUGGAGUUGUUUUCAAGUGUAGACUGUCUGUCCUGCUCUAAUGUCCCCAAUCGACACUUUAAUGCAGGGUUGCAUUUUCUUUUUCCUAAUUUAAAAUAUUUUUAAAAUUCUAAAUAUUUAAAAUUUAAAAUGUUUUCUUUGUCUUUAUUAAUAAAAUUUUUUUACAGAA